RNAcentral lists this transfer RNA (63 nucleotides) under Betatropis formosana. RNAcentral's name for it is "tRNA-Cys". Lineage: Eukaryota; Metazoa; Arthropoda; Insecta; Hemiptera; Achilidae. The record is from RNAcentral.
GGUCUUAUAUUCAUUAUAUGAUUUUUGAUUGCAAAUCUAAAGGUGUUAAAUAAACUAAGGCUU